This 484-nucleotide ribosomal RNA is filed under the name uncultured bacterium. RNAcentral describes it as "partial 16S ribosomal RNA". It matches the Rfam family "Bacterial small subunit ribosomal RNA", at positions 28 to 523 of the family's 1533-position model. The record is from RNAcentral.
GACGAACGCUGGCGGCGUGCCUAACACAUGCAAGUCGAACGGGAUCCAUGAGAGCUUGCUCUCGGAAGAUCUAGUGGCGAACGGGUGAGUAACACGUGAGAAACCUGCCCUGGAGUGGGGAAUAACUCGGGGAAACUCGAGCUAAUACCGCAUACCCUCGGAUGGUUGCAUGGCCGACCGAGGAAAGAUUUAUCGCUCUAGGAGGGUCUCGCGGCCUAUCAGCUAGUUGGUGGGGUAACGGCCUACCAAGGCAACGACGGGUAGCUGGUUUGAGAGAACGAUCAGCCACACUGGGACUGAGACACGGCCCAGACUCCUACGGGAGGCAGCAGUGGGGAAUCUGGCGCAAUGGGCGAAAGCCUGACGCAGCAACGCCGCGUGCGGGAUGACGGCCUUCGUGGUUGUAAACCGCUUUCAGCAGGGACGAAAAUGACGGUACCUGCAGAAGAAGCCCCGGCUAACUACGUGCCAGCCGCCGCCGUAA